AAGCAACGCGAACAUCCUUACCAGGUCUUGACAUCCUCUGACAACCCUAGAGAUAGGGCUUUGCCCUUCGGGGGACCCCCUGACAGGUGGUGCAUGGUUGUCGUCAGCUCGUGUCGUGAGAUGUUGGGUUAAGUCCCGCAACGAGCGCAACCCUUGAUCUUAGUUGCCAGCAUUCAGUUGGGCACUCUAAGGUGACUGCCGGUGACAAACCGGAGGAAGGUGGGGAUGACGUCAAAUCAUCAUGCCCCUUAUGACCUGGGCUACACACGUGCUACAAUGGAUGGUACAAAGGGCUGCAAACCUGCGAAGGUAAGCGAAUCCCAUAAAGCCAUUCUCAGUUCGGAUUGCAGGCUGCAACUCGCCUGCAUGAAGCCGGAAUCGCUAGUAAUCGCGGAUCAGCAUGCCGCGGUGAAUACGUUCCCGGGCCUUGUACACACCGCCCGUCACACCACGAGAGUUUGUAACACCCGAAGUCGGUGAGGUAACCUUCAUGGAGCCAGCCGCCUAAGGUGACAGAGUGGG
Molecule: ribosomal RNA, 522 nt
Filed under: Caryophanales bacterium
Lineage: Bacteria; Bacillati; Bacillota; Bacilli; Caryophanales
Description: bacterial SSU rRNA
Rfam family: Bacterial small subunit ribosomal RNA
Source: RNAcentral